Molecule: non-coding RNA, 88 nt
Organism: Caerostris darwini
Lineage: Eukaryota; Metazoa; Arthropoda; Arachnida; Araneae; Araneidae
Source: the annotation of a GenBank genome assembly
GCAGUCGCGGCCAGCGGUUAAGGCGAUGGACUUGAAAUCCAUUGGGAUGAACUUGGAUGGCCUUGAGGUUCGAAUCCUGCCGACUGCG